AAUUAUGGAGGUACUGAUUUCAUCAUUAUCUGUGAGCAGUAAAUGUUCUUGGUCUUUUUUAAAAUGUAUUUAUUUUACCUUCACUUUUGAAUGAGAGCUUAGCUGGGUUUUGAAUUCUGGGUUCAUGGUUAUUUUUGUACAGCACUUUGAGAUUUCUUCUUUGUCUUUGAAUUUCUAAAGUUUUGUUAUAUUAUGGCUAGUUUGGGGUUUAGUGUAUUUUCUCUAAACUCACUAUGAUUCUUCAACUUCAGGAUUCAAGUCUUUUAGUCAUUUAUGGAAAAAUUUCAGCCAUUAUCUUUUCAAAGAUUGCCUCUGCCCCAUUUUAUGUUGGGCUUCCUUAUUCCAUCUUCCGUAUCUCUUAAUCUUUCAUAUUUUCCAGAUCUGUUUGUCUUUGUGCCUUCUGAAUAAUUUCCUCAAAUCUGUUUUCCAGUUUAUAAAUUUUCUUGCUAUAUCUAAUUGUUAUUUAACUCAUCCAUUUACAUUUUUAAUUUUCUUGAUAUCUCCCUAUGCUAAUGGAUGGAUUUUUACCUAAAUCCUACUCUUUCACACAGGGUAUAGGCCUUUAAGGUUGUAACUUUUAUGCAGUGUUCCUAUUUCUAAUUCCUUGCUCACUUGGGCCCAAUGCCCACCUUAUAUCCCCACAUGCACAUGAAAUUCCAAGUCCUUAGGUGAAUAGAUCAAUAAUAAACCCUCUAUCACUAUAAUGUAGCCACAUGAUGAGCUGACACUUUGAAAUUUUAUUCUGUUUUCAAUUACCUCUUUGCUUCUCGUGCCUGAGGAUUUCUCUUUCUUUCCUGAGAGCUUGGCUUUGAAUAUAAAACAUUUUAAAAUUUAUAUUUUAUUCAGCAUUUCUAGGUUUUUAUAGUGAGCUUUAUCUUAGUCUACAUUUUUCUAAAACAGAAUGCCUUGAUUAAUACUAUAAUAAUAAGAAAAAAAAACCCUCAUUAUUAGUUUCAAAAAUAGACCAGUUGGUGUUGUUUGGGGACCGAGACUCAAACAACAGAAGCCAGAAAGGUUGGCUGUCCAUGUUUUGAAGUAUGUUGAUCAGUGGAUACCAAAGCUAUCCUAUAUCUGCAUCUUUGUGGCCACAUAAUCUGCCAUCAAUGAGCAAUUACAUGAUGGGUUUACUGGAAGUCCUUGUGAAGUAGCUUAUCAUAGUGAGUAUCAGAAUUUUGAGUUCUAACCAUGGCUCUACCACUGACUUGAAAGGUCAGGGUAGCCAAGGCCUAAUUAAUUCAUUUAGUAACUUGUAAUCUUAAUUAAUUAAUUAAUUAAUCAAUCAUAUUUUAUUAAUAUGAUAAAACAAUUGUCAAGCACCUAUUAAGCCAAAUCCUGGAGAUACAGAAGAGAAACAGAUAAAAAUUGCUGUUCACAGUCCAGUAGUAGGAUACUAGCUUUGGAAUCAUCUAUCAUAUAAUAGAAGUUUGGAUGGUUAUUGUUAAGGUACAAAGGGCAAAGUGGCCAGUUGAAUCUUGAUGGCAGGUUAUAAUCAAAAAAUUUCUGAGAGUAAGAAAUAAGAGAAUUAGAGGCAUAAAACCUUACAGUAAGAGAUUUGUAGAAGGAUAUUUAAGGAGUGCAGACUCCUUAAUGAGGGUCCUCAAUGCUUUUGGUGGAAUGGAUACAAACGUACAGAAUUUUGUAUUCUUUCCCAGGUAUCCUUAGCCUUACAGCAAUAUCUGCAAAAUGUUUGAGAUUGCUGAAGAGCAACCCUACAGGGCCCAUGAGGUCUUGCCCUUCUCUAACCAUUCAAUAAAUAGCACUCAGUGGAGAUCCUGGCUGAGGAUACUUGUUUUCAAAACAACAAUCCUGAGCCAACCUACUUAAGUAGUUCCAUAUGUUUCUAUGGAGACUUUAUAGAUUGUGGCCUUCAGAAUUCUUUUGUUUAUCACCGGGAAUCCAAGUCCUGAAAGCAGCUAACUAACCAUGAGGUUUGCUGGUUAUACAAGCUGUUGGACCUCUUAAGGACUUUGACAUAAAGACCACUUUCUGUGGAAUAAGAAUUAGUGGUUUAAAAAGAGUGCACUUAACAGUAUCAUACAAAACAGAAAUGGAACAUGGAGAUACAAGCAAAUGAAAAAAGCCCAGUUCUGUAAGGAGAAAGAUAUACUACUGUGGAGAACAUGAGGACAUCCAAGUACAGGUACAGGAGUAGGACAGGAUACCACUGUUGGCUACAGUCUGGCUUUACCACUUUCACUAGCCAAUCCAGGCUAAGGGAAGAAACAAAAUGGCACCAUGAGGAAGGUGAGCAAAAGGAAAAGGAUUAAACUCUUCACAUUUUAGGCUACCAGGGAUGUCUCAAAUGAUCCCAUGAAAUACAAAUCACUUCAAGUCACCUGAAAAAAAUUAAAGAAUUUUGGAAAAUGAGCAAUUUACAUAGAAGCUAAGAAUUGAAGCAAGGAUCUGGAUUCCUCUCAAAAAUCAUUUUUAAAAAAUUGUGUCCAGAAUUAGCCCAGUCAUUGCUUCCGUUCUCAGCUUUUCUCAAGCUGUAGAAACAGAGCCAAACUUAGUUCCUUCAGGUUUCUUGUUGGCUGCCAAAUGAUGAGGCCCUUCAUCUCCUCCCUGGUGUUGCAAUCCUUUCUCUGCGAUUGCCUCAUCCACCACCUGCCUCACGCCAACACUUUGCCUACUAUUUUCUUUUCUGUCCCUCCUUCCCGUGUGGCCACUUGGCCAGCUCACCAGCAGUGGAUUGGCCAGGAGCAGUGGGCUGUCAUGUGACCAAAUCCAAACUGCUGUGAAGCACCUAAGUCAGAGUUUUCCAUGACGCACCUGCUACGUUCACAUUGGCUUCCAAGUAAAUAAAUGGUCAAAUCGUUUCCAAAAGUGGUUUUGACAAAGAACAACUUAAACUGCCAAAGAUGUUGACACAUGGGCUGUUAUCUAGGAGAGUGAGUAAAGCAACCCAUUUGAACAACAAGAACAGAUAAGGCCCACCUCUUUGUCCCCUUGCCUUUUUACAUUGAUAUUCCUGUGGAGACAAAGGGAAAGAAGAAAAGGAAACAAAGGCAGAUCUUUAGCGCUGGCUGUCCCAGGGUUGAUUAGGAUGCUGAUCUGUGUGGCAGGUUUCUAGGUUCUCACCCAACUUCUUGGCUGCUAUUCAAAGGAUUUAACAGUGCGCUUUGUAAAUAGUAGUGUACAAAGCCAGUCUAAAAAUAGUACAUUUCCAGGGUCUGAAUUGGGUGAGUGGAAUGAGUGGCAAUGGCUGUAUUGUACAAGACAGAUUACAAGUGAGUUACUCGAUGGUACUUGAUAUGCAGGGUUAUUCACAUGCUUCAUCUGGUUUGGUUAAAUAAUGCAAACACAUUUACCAAUGUACAUGAUCGUUUUGUUUAUUUGUGCUCUGGAGAGCUUGUGUGUGUUUAUGACAGACAAAUGUACAUGUUCUAUUUUCUGACAAUCAAACAAAGCUCUCCCAGAUGAGGUAAAUAGCUGAGUUAAAUAGUGGAGCCGACACUCCUGAGAAUCGCUGAUGUGACACUAUGGUGGUUGUUAAUGACAGGUUUCCUGCUGCGCUUGCUGCCCUAAAGGAUUUUUGCUGAAGGUGGGAAUCAACCAGAGUCUCUGACAACUACUGGGACUGCUAGGUCUGGCUGAAAUCUCUCUUGAAACUAUGUGUGUGAAGGCUUAUGCCUCACUAGAAAUUUUUCACUGUGACAGCAACUGGGCUUGUUCUUCCUCCCUCUCGCUCCUGAGGCUGGGCUUUGUGGACAGCGAAGGUGAGGGGCUCCUCCUUAGACCAGAGCAGACAUUGCAGAUGACAACUCUGGAAGCCAGGGUCACAGAAGACCCGGUUCAGGGAAAAGUCUAAAGGAACUUUCAAUAGGAAUAUUACUUUCUGAAAUGAAGGUGCUGGGAAAGUGUUUUGCAAUCUUUUGAAAGGAAAAGCCACUCCUCUUAAUGUUUUCAGCCAUAAGUGGUGGUUAUUCCUAUAGACUUUGAGGAGAGAAAUUUUCUCAUAUCAAAAUACAAUAUAAUUAUUUCAUACAUAAAUAAUUAUCUUUCAGGCAGUUUGGAGGCUUUAUUAUUUAAUGCAAUGUGGAAACUCUUGGGUGAAGCCUUCAGUCAUUCUGGCAGGUUUGUUUCCAAAAAUUUUACACUAUGGAAACUGAGAAUGGGGACAGCUCUUGAAGAAAUUGGACUGGGGAUAUACAUUAUAGAGGAUUAAAAAAAAACAGCAUGUAACUUUGGGAAGUAUUUCUCCCGCCCAAAUUUUAUGCCUUUAAUUUCAUACAGUAAAUUGGGUCUGACGAUCUCAAGGAGCAUACAUGUUGGCACUCCUCUCUCUCCUCCUUAUGCUCUGUGACUUUAGGCAAGUUUCAUAAACUCUGACUCCCCAGUUUCCUCAUCUGUAAAACCGUGAGAACAGUGCCCACCUCAUUAAGUGUUGUGAGGAUUCAAUCAGGUAAUGUAAGUAAAGCCAUUAGCCCAUGGUAAUAAAUGAAACCAUGGUCAUCACAAUAGGAGGCAAUUAGCAUUCCUGGGCAUAGCUUCUUACCUGCCCAACAACAUCCUCGUCUUUCCAAAUGGCUAUCAUCUCACAGGCUGAGCAGUAUGCAAAUGUCUAAUUCCUUUUGAGAAUUACCACUGCCAUCAUUAUUAUUAUCCUGGUUGUUGAAGAAUGAACAGUUCAGAAAAUAUUAAAUCAGACUUUCCAUGACCUGUCAUUUCCUGCUUUAUCACCAUCUACAUGAUAAUGGUGGUUAAUUUCUCUUUAGAGGUAUCUUCGAAGAUAACAUAAAUCAUUAUUUUGGUUAUUCUGGAUUCUCUCAAUCUGGCUUUUAUUUCUUAUGCUGAAGAAUUAAGAUUUUUUUCAAUAAGGUAGAUAUUUGCUUACCUCCCCAAAGAGUCUGGGAAACAACAUAAAUUUCAUCUCUUUGAGCCUGAAUUUUCAAAUGAAUGAGAGAAUAUAACUGAACAGUCAUUUUGGUCUGGUGCACACCCUUGGGUGUGAGUAAAGUGAGCUCUGAAAGAGUCUGAUGUAGUUAUGCAGAAGUGAAGAGUCAGAUAACUUCCUGAAGAUCAUGGUCACAGCAAAAUCAUUUACCCACCAUGUUUGUAAAGUUAAGAAGGGCAUAUGAAGUAACACUGUAAGUGGACAAAUGAAAUUGUGCAAAACAAAAUGUAGACAGUACCUCUGCUGACAACAAUUUUCAGGAUUUGCUUUCAGUUUGCAGUGUUGUAAACUUAUUCCAGAAAGAAGGAUCACUGUUACUAUCACAACUUUUAAUGAUUAUCAUUCAAAGUUAACUAAGCUCCUAUAAGCAAAGUCUUUUCAGCCAAAUAUAUGAAAGUAUUGGAAUUCACCCAUUUAUAAAAUUCUCACAGCACUAUACUUAAAAAUCAUAUCAGAAAGACAAAGGAUUCUGAUAAUUGUCCAAGUUUUAGUUUUCAUUGGACCAACUGAAUUAAUUCCUUUGCUUUCUCUGCAGAGAGGGCACAGUCUUGCCUGUAAUGGGCUUUUUCUCAAAGGGAUAAAAUGUACUAACACAGCAACUAAAAGACUGAGACUUUCUUUUUCAAUUCAUUUGAGAUUGGUUUUGUUUUAUUGUAAGCCUAUCUACUAAUGUGCUGACUGAGUUCUAGGUAUUGAGAGGGAUUAAAAACUAUAUCUGUGUUCCUGGAUCUUGUUGGGGAAGAAAUUACUUUUAUCUAAAAACCACUCAAGACAAUGUCCCUAAGUAUCCAAUUACAUUUAAUCAGCUGCUAAAAUAAUGUCAGAGAUCACCAAGGCUGAGGAUAGUCAACCCCAGGGUAGGCUGGUGUGGCAGAGAAGCAGUAUUUGGUAAAGGUAGAUAAUGGUGGCUAUUAUAGGCUGAAUUGUGACACCCCAAAUUAAUAUUGGGGUGAAGUUCUAACCCUCCAAUAGUUAGAAAGUUACUGUAUUUGGAAAUAGGGUCUUUAAAGACCGUUAAGUUAAGAUGACGUCAUUAGGAUAGCCCCUAAUCCAAUAUGACUGGAGAUCCUUCUAAGAGGAUAUUAGGAAAGACCAUGUGAAGACAUAGGGUGAAGGUGACCAUCUACGACCUAAGAAGAGAGACCUCAGAAGAAACCAGCCCUGCCAACAUCUUGGCCUCAAGAAUUGCAAGAAAAUACAUUUCUGUUGUAUGAAUCUUUGGUACUUUUUUAUGGCAGCCCACAUAGACUAAUGCUAUGGCCUUGAAGCAAAAGUGAUAUUUGUUUAGGUAGAGAAAGGGGGCAUAUGGGUGCUAUACUUCUGUCUCUCCUGUUAUUCAAUAUCUACUUCUUAUUUGCAUUUUAUUUUCUUUGUUUAUCUCCUUGCUUCUACUAUUAGAGUUAGAAUGCUAGGAAUUGUGGGGACAAAGGAGAUGGGAAAGGAAUUGGGGAAAGAGAAAAGCAGAAGCACAGAAAGAAAGAGACUAUCUGAUACCUGAUACCACACUAAUGUUUUAGUAGAAGUCAUCAAAUAAGAAAAAACAACAAAAAGUAGCACUUAUAAAAGCAACGAGCAGUCUUAAGACUAAGGGAAGGCUUUAAGAAUAAGGAACUAGUAGUAUUUAACAAGAUUAUCAAAGAUCUGAAAUGUAUCUGUACUCAAUAAGGAAAUCUUUAUUGUUCAUUUGUGUCCUCUUGGUAAAUUCAACCUUUAUCUUCUGAAGAUAAAUUCCAAUAUUAUCAUUAUAGUUAUGACUUAUCUGAUAUUUAUAACAUCCCAAGUUUGCCUUCCUGCCACAUUAUUUUUGCACUGUUGAAAUAUACUUUUUUACAAUGGAUAUAAUAAUGUAAAUAUAAUAUGGAAGCAUUUAUAUCAAUAGCAAAGAUAUGGCUGGGCUAUUUAGUCAAAUACAACUUGCCACUCAAGUGAUUCUCAUUACUCAUUAAGUAUUUCCCACUAAUUUGGGGGUUUUCAAUUGGUUGAGAAACAUAGUAGAGACAAAUGACAACGGAUGAAGAUAAAAUGGUGCCUCAAAAUCUGGGAAAACCCUGAAACUCAUCUAAUAUAUUUUACCACCCAGACAUAAUUUGUUUUCAAUGGUGAUGUAAAGAAAUUUGUGCUCAAGUGACUACAUGUACACUGUUGUUUCUUAAGAGCUUAUGUUUGGUCUAAACUCCUGAAAGCAUACUUCAGUCUCAGUAGUGAAUCUAUAGAAAUAUGUUUCUUUCAUUACAAUUUUGCAAGUUGCGCUCAGGGAUGGGCAGGAAAUAGGGUAGUGGGAAGAAGGGGCAGUUGAUAGACCAUGCAACUCUUGAUCUUGGGGUUGUAAGUUGGAGCCCCAUGUUGGGUAUAGAGAUUACUUAAAAAUAAAAUCUUUAAAGAUAAAUAAAUAAAUACCUAUUAAGAAAGGUGUUUGGUGUGGAAAACAUUUCUCCCUUCAGAACUCUUUUUUGUUCUCCCUAGGCCCAAAAGUCCUGGGUACCUUCAGAGGUCCCUCCUAGGCCACGGCCUGUGGGCUUUCCAUAAGAGAUUCUUGUCUUGGGUUGUUUAUAGCCUCUCAGGGUCAUAUCAGGCCCUUCAUCAGCCCGCUGGCUCUGCCUUGCAUGCUCAUCCUUGUUGACCAUUUGGUCUAGAUCCAUGCUCUCCAUUUACUCUCUUGGUCUGAGUUCUUUGGCCUUCCUCAAUUCCUGGGCUGCCCUUACCCAGUGCCACUUUGACUAGCAUCCUAUAAUUAGGGGACAAUCUUCUCUACUCUAGUGCCCAGCCCUGAUUUCUAAAAUCCCAGUCUGAGCCCUCUGCUUUGCCAGGAGAAAAAGGUGAUCAUGUAAAACAUCUUGAGUGCUUUUCUUUGUCUGUCAAAAGCACAGUAUUCAGUUCAGUAAACAUUUAUUCUAUGAAAGGAAGGAAGGAAGGAGUAUUGGCUUUGUCCACAGUAGCUACACUUGGGAAUGUGGUCUGCGACAAUAGGAAAAAGCCAGCUAUGUUUCUGUAUGUUUCUAUGUUUUCUGUUCUUAGUAUUUUUUUCAACCAUUAGCCCUACCAGUACCUCCUAACCCACCUGCUUCCAUACAGAACACUUUUCUUCAUAGAAGGAUUGUUCCUGCCACCAUAUCACCAGAAACAAGGAAUUUUCCAAGGGUGGGCAGAUACAUUUCAGAGAACACAGCUAGAAGCCAAAUUUAGGAAGAACAAGGAAGGUCUAAAAAGUACACAGCUUUCCUUAUUUAUCUCAGUGGUGUUAUUAUUGCCAAAUACCAUGUUGAGCCUAUGAUUUCCAUCAGUAAUCAAAAAGUCCCAGAAUAAUCUGAGCAAUUGUUCUCAGCUCUUCUCUUAGAUGCAUCAUAUCUAGUAUAAGAUGAAGGAAAAAGAAAAACUAACACCCUCAUUAUGUGACAAAUAGCAAGGUAGGUACCUGUAGAAACAUUUUAGAACAUCUACCCAGCCUAUAGACUAUCCCCUCAGCUAUACCACUAACCACAGGUGAGCAUUUUUAGCCACAUUUGUGCUAUCCAGUCCUACUGCUCCCUCCCACUAUCCCCAGCUGCCAUAUACUCAUGCACAAUGAACUCCUGUUAUAAGGGAAGUAAUCAGACUCUUUGUGAGACUUUGGAAUUGGGAUUAUGGGAUUCCCAUUCCCUCUGUGUUGUCUUAGAAAGGGAUACAUAGACUCAAAAGCUAUGGACAGUCACAAUGUCAGCUCUGUUGACCUAGAAGAGAGAACAAAAGAGAUAUACAAAGAGAAGCUACAAUGGCUCCUGAUGACUUUUUAUGUCUUUUUUUUUUUAACUUUUAAAAUUUAUUUUGAGAGAGAGAAUGUGUGAGUGUGAGAUGGGGAGG
Molecule: long non-coding RNA, 8731 nt
Organism: Felis catus (domestic cat)
Lineage: Eukaryota; Metazoa; Chordata; Mammalia; Carnivora; Felidae
Exons: 3
Source: RefSeq, a predicted model, not a curated record